ACACACACAUGUGUGUGUGCUUGGAUCAAACAGAAGAAAAGGGCGACCAGGGGGUUUCUUUCAAACCCUAAAAUUCACAAAAACUCACAAAUUGGAAGCCUAAAUCAAGUCUGAAUCGAAAUCUGAAUACAUAUUAGUGAUGACCUCGACAAAGGGAUCGUAAGGUAAAGAAUCCGGAUCGUCAAGUGGACAAGCAUUAGGUGAUACGCGGUUGAAGGGUGUGCUCUAAAGGUGAAUAUGGAACCAAAUCCGGAUGGUGAUCAAACUAUUAUCAAGAACCGAACGCACUAAACGAAGCUUCCGCACUUGAUCUAUUUUGUCUUAGCAUUAUGUAGAUACUUGAACUAUGUUUUCAAAUGUUAUCUAGUAGACACUUGAAGUUAUGUUUUGUAUGUUUAAUGGAUCAAAUAUGGUCUUUUAGUCAAGAAAGUUUUUUUUUUCUUUGUAAACUUGAUAUUUUAGUAUCAAUUCCUUGUUUUAUUUAAUUAAUCUUGUUA
Molecule: long non-coding RNA, 497 nt
Organism: Helianthus annuus (common sunflower)
Lineage: Eukaryota; Viridiplantae; Streptophyta; Magnoliopsida; Asterales; Asteraceae
Exons: 3
Source: RefSeq, a predicted model, not a curated record